UGGGGAAUAUUGCACAAUGGGCGCAAGCCUGAUGCAGCCAUGCCGCGUGUGUGAAGAAGGCCUUCGGGUUGUAAAGCACUUUCAGUCGUGAGGAAGGUGGUGUAGUUAAUAGCUGCAUUAUUUGACGUUAGCGACAGAAGAAGCACCGGCUAACUCCGUGCCAGCAGCCGCGGUAAUACGGAGGGUGCGAGCGUUAAUCGGAAUUACUGGGCGUAAAGCGCAUGCAGGUGGUUUGUUAAGUCAGAUGUGAAAGCCCGGGGCUCAACCUCGGAAUAGCAUUUGAAACUGGCAGACUAGAGUACUGUAGAGGGGGGUAGAAUUUCAGGUGUAGCGGUGAAAUGCGUAGAGAUCUGAAGGAAUACCGGUGGCGAAGGCGGCCCCCUGGACAGAUACUGACACUCAGAUGCGAAAGCGUGGGGAGCAAACAGGAUUAGAUACCCUGGUAGUCCACGCCGUAAACGAUGUCUACUUGGAGGUUGUGGCCUUGAGCCGUGGCUUUCGGAGCUAACGCGUUAAGUAGACCGCCUGGGGAGUACGGUCGCAAGAUUAAAACUCAAAUGAAUUGACGGGGGCCCGCACAAGCGGUGGAGCAUGUGGUUUAAUUCGAUGCAACGCGAAGAACCUUACCUACUCUUGACAUCCAGAGAACUUCCAGAGAUG
This 660-nucleotide ribosomal RNA is filed under the name Vibrio sp. Its description in RNAcentral is "bacterial SSU rRNA". It matches the Rfam family "Bacterial small subunit ribosomal RNA", at positions 355 to 1008 of the family's 1533-position model. The record is from RNAcentral. Lineage: Bacteria; Pseudomonadati; Pseudomonadota; Gammaproteobacteria; Vibrionales; Vibrionaceae.